AUGAACCCAUCCUCGGCGCCGGGUCUAGACGGCCUCCCGGUUAAAUUUUUCCAAACCUUCUGAAACGUGAUUAAACCGGAGGUCAUGGCCAUCUUCGACGAGUUCUACAUGGGCUCCAUCGAUCUCGGGCGUCUCAACUAUGGGAUCAUCUCUCUCAUUCCCAAGGUUCCUGGUGCGUCCGACAUUCGUCAAUUUCGCCCGAUCACGGUCAUUAACGUGAUUUUCCGGAUCCUGGCCAAAGGGUACGCCAAUAGGGUGACCCUGCUGGCGGACCGUGUGACGCAUCCCAACCAGUCUACCUUCAUUAAGGGCCGAUAUAUCCUGGAUGGGGUCCUAGUUCUUCAUGAAGUCCUUCAUGAGGUCCGAAAGUGUUGGGGAUCGUUGCAGAAAUUAAAAAUUUUCUACGCAUCACCAAGAUCAAUCUAUGGAGUUUACUAG
RNAcentral lists this ribosomal RNA (438 nucleotides) under Triticum aestivum (bread wheat). RNAcentral's name for it is "partial small subunit ribosomal RNA". The record is from RNAcentral. Lineage: Eukaryota; Viridiplantae; Streptophyta; Magnoliopsida; Poales; Poaceae.